GACGAACGCUGGCGGCGUGCCUAAUACAUGCAAGUAGAACGCUGAAGAGAGGAGCUUGCUCUUCUUGGAAGAGUUGCGAACGGGUGAGUAACGCGUAGGUAACCUGCCUUGUAGCGGGGGAUAACUAUUGGAAACGAUAGCUAAUACCGCAUAACAAUGGGUGACCCAUGUCAUUCAUUUGAAAGGGGCAACUGCUCCACUACAAGAUGGACCUGCGUUGUAUUAGCUAGUAGGUGGGGUAACGGCUCACCUAGGCGACGAUACAUAGCCGACCUGAGAGGGUGAUCGGCCACACUGGGACUGAGACACGGCCCAGACUCCUACGGGAGGCAGCAGUAGGGAAUCUUCGGCAAUGGGGGCAACCCUGACCGAGCAACGCCGCGUGAGUGAAGAAGGUUUUCGGAUCGUAAAGCUCUGUUGUAAGUCAAGAACGAGUGUGAGAGUGGAAAGUUCACACUGUGACGGUAGCUUACCAGAAAGGGACGGCUAACUACGUGCCAGCAGCCGCGGUAAUACGUAGGUCCCGAGCGUUGUCCGGAUUUAUUGGGCGUAAAGCGAGCGCAGGCGGUUUGAUAAGUCUGAAGUUAAAGGCUGUGGCUCAACCAUAGUUCGCUUUGGAAACUGUCAAACUUGAGUGCAGAAGGGGAGAGUGGAAUUCCAUGUGUAGCGGUGAAAUGCGUAGAUAUAUGGAGGAACACCGGUGGCGAAAGCGGCUCUCUGGUCUGUAACUGACGCUGAGGCUCGAAAGCGUGGGGAGCGAACAGG
RNAcentral lists this ribosomal RNA (765 nucleotides) under uncultured Streptococcus sp. Its description in RNAcentral is "bacterial SSU rRNA". It matches the Rfam family "Bacterial small subunit ribosomal RNA", at positions 28 to 776 of the family's 1533-position model. The record is from RNAcentral. Lineage: Bacteria; Bacillati; Bacillota; Bacilli; Lactobacillales; Streptococcaceae.